AGAUUGAACGCUGGCGGCAGGCCUAACACAUGCAAGUCGAACGGCAGCGCGGACUUCGGUCUGGCGGCGAGUGGCGAACGGGUGAGUAAUAUAUCGGAACGUGCCCAGUAGCGGGGGAUAACUACGCGAAAGCGUGGCUAAUACCGCAUACGCCCUACGGGGGAAAGGGGGGAUUCUUCGGAACCUCUCACUAUUGGAGCGGCCGAUAUCAGAUUAGCUAGUUGGUGAGGUAAAGGCUCACCAAAGGCGACGAUCUGUAGCUGGUUGAGAGGACGACCAGCCACACUGGGACUGAGACACGGCCCAGACUCCUACGGGAGGCAGCAGUGGGGAAUUUUGGACAAUGGGCGAAAAGCCUGAUCCAGCAAUGCGCGUGCAGGAAGAAGGCC
RNAcentral lists this ribosomal RNA (389 nucleotides) under uncultured soil bacterium. Its description in RNAcentral is "bacterial SSU rRNA". It matches the Rfam family "Bacterial small subunit ribosomal RNA", at positions 26 to 416 of the family's 1533-position model. The record is from RNAcentral.